GGGUUGUGAGGUUAAGCGACUAAGCGUACACGGUGGAUGCCCUGGCAGUCAGAGGCGAUGAAGGACGUGCUAAUCUGCGAUAAGCGCCGGUAAGGUGAUAUGAACCGUUAUAACCGGCGAUUUCCGAAUGGGGAAACCCAGUGUGAUUCGUCACACUAUCAUUAACUGAAUCCAUAGGUUAAUGAGGCGAACCGGGGGAACUGAAACAUCUA
RNAcentral lists this ribosomal RNA (212 nucleotides) under Salmonella enterica. Its description in RNAcentral is "partial 23S ribosomal RNA". It matches the Rfam family "Bacterial large subunit ribosomal RNA", at positions 1 to 204 of the family's 2925-position model. The record is from RNAcentral. Lineage: Bacteria; Pseudomonadati; Pseudomonadota; Gammaproteobacteria; Enterobacterales; Enterobacteriaceae. RNAcentral also lists the same sequence under 2 other names.